UUUUUAGGGCCGCACCCAUGGUAUAUGAAAGUUGCCAAGCUAGGGGCUGAAUUGUAGCCACAACUGCUGACCUACACCACAGCAAUGCCCUAUCUGAGCUGCGUCUGCAACCUACACCACAGCUCACAGUAACGUCGGAUCCUUAACCCACUGAGUGAGGAUAGAACCCAUGUCCUCAUGGAUACUAGUAGGGUACAUUAACCGCUGAGCCACAAAGGGAACUGUAGGUCAGCUUUUUAUUUAUUUGUUUGUUUUGUUUUGUUUUUGUUGAUGCUAAUUCUCCUAGAGAUGGUUAUUUUCCUUUCUUGAGAACACUUGUUUCCAUCUGCCUUUUGAAUACUCGACUCUGUUGCGGGUAAGGACUGAAGAGACAGUGGUUACUGUAAGUUAUGACAACCUUCUUCUAGCAAUAAGUUGUUCUUCAGAGAAACAAGGUUUAUUGAACAAUAAGAAGACAACUUAAAUUUAAACUUCAGCUUUAUGAGUAUCAGUGGCUACGAAGAGUGGGUGAAGAGAUUGGUGGUGACUGGUAAAUGCUGUGAUUAGAUAUCCCCAGCUAGUCGUAGACCUUUAAGGUGAUAAAGGGACCCAGAAUAUAAAUUUUUAUGGCUAAGAAACUACCAUGAAUGAUCUUCUGAUGUCAAAUCAAAAAUACUCAUACUUGAGAGCGACGAAAGUUUCUGAGAAUAAUCAAAACACGACUGGAAAAUACCAUACCACAAACUUGGUGUCAUGAUGACUUUACAAUUCUUUAUAACUAUAAACCAUUUAACGUUCUUCAAUAAAAGCUUAGAAAAGGCUGAAUAGCAUGCAAUUUUCUUUGGCAAAAAAAGAGCUGGGUUUAAACACAGUGAAAAGGUUUGUAUGGGUUCAAAAGGGGUGACAAAGACACUGUUUUUUGCUAUCAUUGGCCUGCUAUCAACUUUUGUGUCCAAAACAAAUGAAUCUGUAUGGAAGUAGUUAAAAGACUGAAGUGAGCUAGUCCAAUUCUUUUUAAGAUAUUAUUGCUACACUAUCCUCCCCCAUUUGAAAUCUGUGUUGGGAGACAGAGACCACUUCAACUCAAUGAGUCACUUCUCCUUCCAGCCAGAACAAUUAAACUUCUUGUAUAAAACAUGACCUGAAGCCUGCCCUUCACCACAUCAUCCCACCUCAAAAACUCCCAGGGGUCAUCUCUGACAUUUAACAGCUUGCAAAUUCAAUUUCUUAGCUGAUGAGGCCAACUUCAUGCUUUUAGAAACGAAUACUAAGUUUUUGCAAAUUUUCUUCUUCAACAUUCUGGGUAAUAUAUAAAAUGUGUUGUCAGUUCAAGUGCCUGUCUGAAUAAUGUUACGCACGCCUUUUUAUCAUGAUGGAGAUAGCAUUUGCAAGUCGGCUGCAUGGAGAAUGAGAAAAAUCCUCCCUCCUUCACUGGCCCUUCUACACCCGUCAACCCCCAAGGCAAGAAAGAAAGAAAGGAAAAAAGGGAGAAUGAUAUACCGCAGUAAGUACAGCGGUAUGGUCAAUCUAGCCAGUGUUCCUGUACCAUCCUACCAGUUCCUGAAACAGUUAAUGCAUUUUGCAAAUUUGCUGCUGCUUUAUUGUUAGCAGCUGAGGAGUUUUUUCCCCUUCUUCUCUCAACUGUUACUGAUCUCUUGCCAUAGUUUGCAUACAAUCCCCUAACAGUAUUAGCUCAUUUUUACUCCAGUCUUGCAGAUUAGCUCAUCUGGGUUAUGUUCUUGGGUGAGUUGGUGUUGAGUGUUGAAUACAUCUUACUUUUUCAUUCUCAAUAGGCUUCUCCAUCGUAACAGGUAUUUGGUGAGUCUGAUCUUCUUUAACAUCAUGUGUUUGACCCUCAUACCAGAAGCGACUCCCAGAUCUUCAUUUGUUCAUUUGUUGGUAUCUAUAGCAGGUGGAUUUAUAUGGAAAGGGGGAGGUAGACUUCUUUCUUUUAUUUCUCAAUUAUUUAUGAAGCCCAGUGUCUUCCUGGAAUGUAUAGUCGACAUUAUUGUAAUGAAAGUCCUAUUCUAUCCAGUUUAAUAUAACUGAGGCCUCUACCACGUCAUUUGAAAACAGCUUUUCUUCCCUUUAAGAGAAUUCACUACUGUUUACACUUUAUUCAACUACAUUCUGUACUUCCUACUCAGGACUCAGAACUCAGUUUUAAAGACCAAAUUUAAAUUAACCACAUUUAAUCAAAAGAAUGAAAAGUAAGUCCAUGGAAAUAUUGCAGCUUCCCACCCCCAACACUUACCAAUGUGCAUGGUGUUUAGGAAACAUAGCUGUAAAUUCAGUUACCAUUCCAUUGUCCCACUUAUCUCAAUUUCAGAUCUCAGAGAGAUAAAAGACAUAGGGUCAGCCUAUUGGAGUUUGCCUUUUAAUUCCUCGAAGAAUCAGGUCUAGAUUUCUACCACUAUUUCUAUCUGUAUUUUUGUCCCUCUCUCUUUAUGUCCAUCUCUGACUAUAUAUCACCAUUUCUAUCUACCUGCAGCUUGGGCGUACAGGUCUUUAUGAUGUGCCGGCUAUCUGUAAGGGACCAGGCAAAAAAGAGGAGCAGGACUCAGAUCCUUCCCCUCCAGAAAAGCUGACUAAAAGGCAGAGCUGUUUAAGAAAAAGAGACACAUUUCAAUCAAAUGGAAUACGGAUGGGAAUAAAUGAAGUGAUAUGAGAGCCAACAGGAAAGACGGAUUAGCUCUGCUGAUGAACUGGGGAAGGUUUCAGAGGGGUUGAACCUUCCUGACAGAUGAGGAGGAGUUUAGACAUGGGAGUGGCGGUAUCACAGGGAGCACAGGAUGUGCAGAGAUGCACUCGCACUUAGUUAAAUGUUCGGUGCGUUUGGGGAACAGCAAGAGAGCUGGGGUGGCUGGCGUUGGGGUUGUGUGGGAUGGAUGGCACAAGUCCAGGCUGCAGGGAUGGAGAAGACCUAUGAGCUCAUAGUCCCUUUUCUCCAUCUCUUCCUUCUCUGUCUCAAAGCCAAAGUGUCCAUGGUGUUCUCAUCCAUGCCUGGCCCAGGAAAAUGGAUUUAAUCUCUUUGAACUAGAAGAAAGGAGGUCAAGAAUGGAGACAGGCUAGAAGCCAGGUCACAACCUUUCUUCUCAAGAGCCGAAAACACUUCGGUUUUUACAUGUGAAGGUCUGUGUGCUUUUUAAAUUUGGGUUACUCAAGGUUUAGGCAAUGGGCUAUUUUUAAUCUGUUUGCUCAAGUCAGCCAUUCCUCAUCCUUAAACCCAUUUCUCUAGAGCUAAAAAAAGGAUAAAAUGUCAUUUGAUGUACCUUCAUGAAAUGGCACUUGACAUUAUUUCAGAUUCACAACUGGCAUUAAGAUGAGUGACGAAAAACAAAGUAUUUACUGAGUCUUUCCUCCUUCCCCAUGAACACGGUCCAAACAUUUUUCCCUCCCCCAGAGCAACCAACAUGCUCCAUUAUACCUCCACCGGGGGACAAUUUAAUUUCUUAUUCCAUUUUGCCCAAGCAUGACUGCAUGCCUUUUAAUUAUAAAAGGUAUUCUGUUGCAGUGAUGGCAGUAGAAAUGACAUUAUUGUAAUUCCAGAUAAUAUUCACUAGAUAUCUUAUUUAGGAAAAUUUUAAAAUUGCGCUUCACGAGAUGACAAGAGUUUAUUCCAUGAGAUUCUUUUACCAGGAGCACUAGAAACGUUAAAGAGCCAGAUACAUUUUUUGACAUUUGUUAAUACUCAGUUAAUUGUUAAACAGGUGUUAUGCUUUGGGAGUUGUCAAAUGAUGAGGCCAAAGUGCCCUACAGAAUUAAGUUGGAAGCCACAGAUUUCAAGGUAUGACAGAUGGUGUCUCAGGAAAAACCCAGUAAUCUGUAUGGAAAUAAGAGAUCUGAAAGGAAAGCUGGCUAUUCAUUUCAUUUUCUAGAUUUUUACAAUGAGGCGGCCAGUUGAAAUGUCAAAAUUAAAUCAAAAUACACUGAAGAGUCUUGUGCACAGGCCAUGGAGAAAUACCUAGCCAAAGAUGAUAGUAUAUUGCAGAAAAUUAGAAAGAUGAAACAUAAUAUAGUUUUUUAUCUUUAUUAGAGGAUAGCUGAUUUAGAGUGUUAUGCAAACUAUUACAUUUGGAAUGGAUGAGCUGGAGUUCCCACUGUGACUCAGCAGGUUAAAAGCCUGACAUGGUGUCCGUGGGACUGAGUUUGGUCCCUAGCCUCACUCAGUGGGUUAAGGAUCCAGCAUUGUUGCAAGCUGUGGCUUGGGUCACAGAUGCAGCUCAGUUACAGCAUGGCUGUGGCUGUGGCUGUGGCCAGCUGAUUCCAUCCCUAGCCUGGGGGGAAUGUCCAUAUGCCACAGAUGCGGCCAUACCAAAAAAAACAAAAAAAAAAGGAUAAGCAAUGAGGUCCUACUGUGCAGCACAGGGGACUAUAUCUAAUCUCUUGGGACAGAACACGAUGGAAGACAGUAUGAGAAAAAGCGUGUAUAUAUAUAUAUAUAUGUAUGACUGGGUCACUUUGUUGUACUGCAGAAAUUGGCGCAAUACCUUAAAUCAACUAUACUUUAAUACAAAUUAAUAAGAAAGUAAAAUACAACUUCAAAGUGUUAUUUACGUGCUUACAUGACUUGAUAUUAAAUUUACUUUUCACAUGAUGUUAUAAAUCUGAAAAGUAUCUUUUAUUUUUAUUUAUUUUUUAUUUUUUUAAUAUUUUUUUUUUUAUUUCCCACUGUACAGCAAGGGGGUCAGGUUAUCCUUACAUGUAUACAUUACAAUUACAUUUUUCCCCCCACCCUUUGUUCUGUUGCAACAUGAGUAUCUAGACAUAGUUCUCAAUGCUAUUCAGCAGGAUCUCCUUGUAAAUCUAUUCUAAGUUGUGUCUGAUAAGCCCAAGCUCCCGAUCCCUCCCACUCCCUCCC
This 4840-nucleotide long non-coding RNA is filed under the name Sus scrofa (pig). RNAcentral describes it as "lncRNA (ENSSSCG00045020061.1)". Lineage: Eukaryota; Metazoa; Chordata; Mammalia; Artiodactyla; Suidae. The record is from RNAcentral.